GUAUAGUAUAGUGUAGUAUAGUAUAUUAUUGUAUAGUGUAGUAUAGUAUAGUAUAGUAUAUUAUUGUAUAGUGUAGUAUAGUAUAGUAUAGUAUAGUAUAGUAUAUUAUAUUAUUGUAUAGUGUAGUGUAGUAUAGUAUAGUAUAGUAUAUUGUAUAUGUAGUGUAGUAUAGUAUAGUAUAGUAUAUUAUUGUAUAGUGUAGUAUAGUAUAGUAUAGUAUAGUAUAUUGUAUAGUGUAGUAUAGUAUAGUAUACUAUAGUAUAGUAUAUUAUUGUAUAGUGUAGUCUAGCAUAGUAUAGUAUAUUAUUGUAUAGUGUAGUCUAGUAUAGUAUAGUGUAGUAUAAUAUAUUAUUGUAUAGUGUAGUGUAGUAUAGUAUAUUAUUGUAUAGUGUAGUGUAGUAUAGUAUAGUAUAUUAUUGUAUAGUGUAGUCUAGUAUAGUAUAGUGUAGUAUAAUAUAUUAUUGUAUAGUGUAGUGUAGUAUAGUAUAAUAUAUUAUUGUAUAGUGUAGUGUAGUAUAGUAUAGUAUAUUAUUGUAUAGUGUAGUCUAGUAUAGUAUAGUGUAGUAUAAUAUAUUAUUGUAUAGUGUAGUGUAGUAUAGUAUAAUAUAUUAUUGUAUAGUGUAGUGUAGUAUAGUAUAGUAUAGUAUAUUGUAUAGUGUAGUAUAGUACAGUAUAGUAUAGUAUAUUAUUGUAUAGUGUAGUGUAG
This is a long non-coding RNA of Ictalurus punctatus (channel catfish), 706 nucleotides long. The record is from Ensembl. NCBI's taxonomy places the organism in Eukaryota, Metazoa, Chordata, Actinopteri, Siluriformes, Ictaluridae.